Long non-coding RNA from Acipenser ruthenus (sterlet), 499 nucleotides. RefSeq lists it as uncharacterized. The transcript has 3 exons. Lineage: Eukaryota; Metazoa; Chordata; Actinopteri; Acipenseriformes; Acipenseridae. The record is from RefSeq and is a predicted model, not a curated record.
UCCACUCUAACAAAGAAAAUGAAAGAAUACGUGAAAGGAAGAAUCCAGACGUCUCCAAUGAAGAAAUAUGUGUGGCCAUAAAGAACUAUUGGCGAAAUAUCCGCAGACAAAACAAUGAAAAAGACAAAUGGGAGCGCAGACAGCUGGAGGCUCGUCGGAGGAAAAGCAAGAGAGAUAAAUGCCAAUGUCGUAUACAAGGGGUCCCUCACUCCUCUUUGUCAGAGAUGGACAAGAAAACCAUGGCAAAUGCGCUUCAAGUUCUUCCUGUAGAAGUGACGAUGAGCACGGAGGAGUCUGGGGAGGAAGACAAUCCAUUUAACCAGGGAGAACAAAUGACCGUGAAGGUGGUCAGACCUCAGAAGUGGGAAUCAGGAAGGUUUAGAGAGUACAAAAGGGCCUGUGAUAUAGCAUACAGCAUGAUCAAAAAGAAAAGAAAGUGCAAACUUCCUCGAAAAAGAGGUUCUUUUUCAAAGUACAAUAGGCCAGAUUUACCUGACGA